GAAUAAACAAAAAAUAUAGGUUUAAUCUAUUUUGAUUAAUUAAAAGGGAAUCAGGUGAAAAUCCUGAACUAUCCCGUAGCUGUAAUAGAUGAGUUUUAGUGCAUUAUGCCACUUAUAUAUUGGGAAGGCGUGCUAAAAUGAUGAAUCUUGAGUCAGAAGACCUGCCUAUGUUUUACACAAAUA
Molecule: non-coding RNA, 183 nt
Filed under: Clostridium carboxidivorans
Lineage: Bacteria; Bacillati; Bacillota; Clostridia; Eubacteriales; Clostridiaceae
Also listed under: 1 other name
Source: RNAcentral